GGAUGGUAUGUGCUAUGGUGAGUGCUGUGAAGUGUGAACCUGACGAUUCGCAGAGCUGUACCGCUAGGGCAAAUAAUGCAUUAGAUGUUAAUAAAAAUAAUUAAUAA
Molecule: long non-coding RNA, 107 nt
Organism: Lutra lutra (Eurasian river otter)
Lineage: Eukaryota; Metazoa; Chordata; Mammalia; Carnivora; Mustelidae
Exons: 3
Source: RefSeq, a predicted model, not a curated record